Non-coding RNA from Acanthosepion pharaonis, 111 nucleotides. The record is from the annotation of a GenBank genome assembly. Lineage: Eukaryota; Metazoa; Mollusca; Cephalopoda; Sepiida; Sepiidae.
UAUGGCCACACCAUAUUGAAACACGAUUUCCUGUACAAUUAUUAAAGUUAAGCAAUAUUGAGCUUGGUCAGUACCUAGAUGGGUGACCACUUGGGAAUACCAGGUGCUGUU